RNAcentral lists this long non-coding RNA (212 nucleotides) under Mytilus galloprovincialis (Mediterranean mussel). Lineage: Eukaryota; Metazoa; Mollusca; Bivalvia; Mytilida; Mytilidae. The record is from RNAcentral.
GUGGUCAUCUGAGGUCAAAUCGAUAGUUAAUUAGAUGGCAUCUGGACUAAAAUACACACGAAACGAACCUAUAUAUUAUCUACCCCAUGUUCUGUAAACUGUUUAUUUUAGACUUUUGAUAGUUUGGAUAAAUGUUUUACAUUGUUAUAAAUCAAAUAUGAGAAUUUGAGUCAAAUCGGUGACCAUGAAUUUGACAGCUAGUGCCCCUUUAA